This is a non-coding RNA of Cristinia sonorae, 82 nucleotides long. The record is from the annotation of a GenBank genome assembly. NCBI's taxonomy places the organism in Eukaryota, Fungi, Basidiomycota, Agaricomycetes, Agaricales, Stephanosporaceae.
GGCCGACUGGCCUAAUGGUUAAGGCGUCAGUUUCCGGUUAUUUGUUAGCUGAAGAUUCUGGGUUCGAAUCCCAGGUUGGUCG